AAGGAGAUAAAUUGUCACUUCAUCCUUCUGAAGGAGUUUCUUCAGGUGAGGGGAUUGUCUGAGAGCCGGAGGAAAAAAUAGACUUGCAUUAUUUCCAUGAAGAUUUGUAAAAGUGCCAAAUUCAUGAGGACCAGAUCUGGUACCUGGAGCAACCCUGGGAGGCCUUGCUGAGUGCAGAUUUGAGGUUGGAGGGCACAAUCAGAAUACCUCUGAAACCAGGUCUGAGACUCUGAUGUUAUUGCUGUGUGGAGAAUGCCCCCUGCCAUACUUUUCCUGGAUCCUUCUGGAUAAACCUAUCAGACUUAUUGAAAGUUAUCCCCAUCAUUGUUAAGGAUCAAAACUCUGGAUCCACACACCCCAAAUUUGGGUAGAGUUCAGGAACAUGGGAAUUACAAUAUUGGAGCAGACCAAUGGUCCAUUCAGUCCCAUUUUUAUCCUGACCAUGACCAGUAGCAGCUUUUUCAGAAGGAAGUGCAAGAAAACCCAACAUGGGUCAGUAAUGGAAUCGCUUGCCCACAGGUGAAAAUUUUUCCCCUCACUUAAAGGUUGGCACAUGCCCUGAAGCAUGAUGUUUUAUCUCCCUUCCAUAUUUGCGUAAUCUUGUGUAAUAGAACUGCGAAAGUCUAAUUCCUUUUGAAUUUUGCUCUGCUAUGGCCUCACUGGUGUGUGUGUGUGUAUCUCUUUCCCCUGCCCUGUGUCUGUCUUUUCUGUUUAGAUAAUGAGAUCUUUGGGGCAGGGACUGUUUGCUAUCCUGUGUUUGUACAUUCCACAGACAACAGUAAAACACAUUUCUUUUUCUUACAUGUAUGUAUAGACAGAAAAUCUGAUAUUUGGAAACAAAUGCAGUUUCGCAAGAGCGAUGAAAAAAUAUACAGUAGUUCAUUUUAAGGCAUGAUUAUUUUCCCAUUUGAAGUUACUGGAGAAAUGAUUGGGCCCUUCAUGUAAUUCCUCAGGAUAUGUCACUGUAGAUCUCAGGUUUUUCAACACAACCGGAAAGUUCAUAAUAAAAAUUAGACAACUUGGUAUUUCACAAAAGGAUUUGAUUCUGAGUAGCAUGGUUCUGUACACUUGUAGCUACACUGAGUUCUGGUUUCCAAAAUAUCCUGAAGUCUACACUGAGCCACUGACUUUAUGUGACAUACACAUGUGUUAUAUAUUGAUGAUGGGGAAUUGAGGGCUUAAAAAUAAACAUCUUGGAAUUUGGCUAUGAAAAAGCAAACAAUGAUGAAUCAAGGUAGAUAUUAGCCAAUGCUCACACUUCCAAUAAUGUUGAGACUGUUAUCCAGGGAAGUGCCAAAUGAAACACUUUAGUUCUUGUGGCCAGUUUCUGUUGUACAAGUGUUUUAAAAGCAGAUUUGAUUGAACCUUGCUGUUUGAAAAUGCUGCCUUAAUCUUUUGUCAAGGACUUCUUAAAAAUUAAAAAUGUUACUUCAGCAUUACUUUGAUGUUUCAUCAUGUGUAUAUGUUCCAAGGUAAUAAAAUUGAUACACUUUUGGCCACUUACUGAAGGGGCAGUCUCCCAUUGGGCAUUGACAUUCCGUAGUAGUUAGAGAAUUUGCAUAAUGCUGUCCUCAAAUGCACACAUUGUGGCUUUUUAAAAAAAAUUGAGUUCAUAUUUCUCCCACCCCUGGAUAUUUUAAUACCUGUAUAUUAAAAUGAAAAAGUUAAAUAAAGGAAAAUGCCAAACCUCCUCAGAGGUUGUAACCAUGUAACUUUCAUACAUUUUCUUUGGAGCGUUGGCUUCAGGACUUAUUACUUACUUUUAUGGCAGGGCACAUCAGAAUGAACAUCUGAAGGUCUAAG
This is a long non-coding RNA of Mauremys reevesii (Reeves's turtle), 1803 nucleotides long. RefSeq lists it as uncharacterized. The transcript has 4 exons. The record is from RefSeq and is a predicted model, not a curated record. Lineage: Eukaryota; Metazoa; Chordata; Testudines; Geoemydidae.